GACGAACGCUGGCGGCGUGCUUAACACAUGCAAGUCGAACGGAAAGGCCCUGCUUUUGUGGGGUGCUCGAGUGGCGAACGGGUGAGUAACACGUGAGUAACCUGCCCUUGACUUUGGGAUAACUUCAGGAAACUGGGGCUAAUACCGGAUAGGAGCUCCUGCUGCAUGGUGGGGGUUGGAAAGUUUCGGCGGUUGGGGAUGGACUCGCGGCUUAUCCGCCUGUUGGUGGGGUAGUGGCUUUCCAAGGCUUUGACGGGUAGCCGGCCUGAGAGGGUGACCGGCCACAUUGGGACUGAGAUACGGCCCAGACUCCUACGGGAGGCAGCAGUGGGGAAUAUUGCACGAUGGGCGGAAGCCUGAUGCAGCAACGCCGCGUGCGGGAUAACGGCCUUCGGGUUGUAAACCGCUUUCGCCUGUGACGAAGCGUGAGUGACGGUAAUGGGUAAAGAAGCACCGGCUAACUACGUG
This 468-nucleotide ribosomal RNA is filed under the name uncultured bacterium. RNAcentral's name for it is "partial 16S ribosomal RNA". It matches the Rfam family "Bacterial small subunit ribosomal RNA", at positions 28 to 507 of the family's 1533-position model. The record is from RNAcentral.